RNAcentral lists this ribosomal RNA (382 nucleotides) under uncultured bacterium. Its description in RNAcentral is "bacterial SSU rRNA". It matches the Rfam family "Bacterial small subunit ribosomal RNA", at positions 30 to 410 of the family's 1533-position model. The record is from RNAcentral.
AUUGAACGCUGGCGGCAUGCCUUACACAUGCAAGUCGAACGGCAGCACGGGAGCCUGCUCCUGGUGGCGAGUGGCGAACGGGUGAGUAAUACAUCGGAACGUACCCUGAAGUGGGGGAUAACGUAGCGAAAGUUACGCUAAUACCGCAUAUUCUGUGAGCAGGAAAGAGGGGGAUCGCAAGACCUCUUGCUUUAGGAGCGGCCGAUGUCGGAUUAGCUAGUUGGUGAGGUAAAGGCUCACCAAGGCGACGAUCCGUAGCGGGUCUGAGAGGAUGAUCCGCCACACUGGGACUGAGACACGGCCCAGACUCCUACGGGAGGCAGCAGUGGGGAAUUUUGGACAAUGGGCGCAAGCCUGAUCCAGCCAUGCCGCGUGAGUGAAG